RNAcentral lists this long non-coding RNA (519 nucleotides) under Elaeis guineensis (African oil palm). Its description in RNAcentral is "long non-coding RNA (EGUI_LNC029246)". The record is from RNAcentral. Lineage: Eukaryota; Viridiplantae; Streptophyta; Magnoliopsida; Arecales; Arecaceae.
ACUCCCCACCGUCCUGCACCUCUACCAACUUCAAAUCCAACCUUGUUCUCUCUCUCUCUCUUCCCAAACUUCCUGCUCUUUCUCAUAGUUCUUUCUCCAACAAAAUGAAGCUUAUAAAGUUCUCUCGGCCAUCCAUAUCUUUCUUCCUUGUAUUACUUGUGGUAGGCCAGUUAUGUAGUGUCAAGCAUGGCCUCAGAACUACGAAAAAUGACGUGGACAAGAGCCGGAAAGGUGAGCAUCCAUCACCCGCUUGCUGUUUCUCCAGGAUUUCUCCAUCUCAAGUGAUCAAUGAGGAUGAUGAUGAUUUCGGUUCCAUCUAUGGAGUGUCUGAGAGAGGGGUACCUCAAGGUCCAAACCCACUUCACAAUUGAUAUAUGGUUGGGAUUUAUAAGUCUUCAGUUAGUUUCCAGAGUUGUAUACGGUUGUAAUGGUUUUUUUUCUUCUAUUGGGCCUAGAAGAUGUAUAUCAGAAGCUGAAUGACAUGUGAUAAUAAUAUGUCUUUUUUAUGGUAAAAAGUUG